RNAcentral lists this ribosomal RNA (253 nucleotides) under uncultured bacterium. RNAcentral's name for it is "partial 16S ribosomal RNA". It matches the Rfam family "Bacterial small subunit ribosomal RNA", at positions 524 to 776 of the family's 1533-position model. The record is from RNAcentral.
UACGUAGGGCGCGAGCGUUGUCCGGAAUUACUGGGCGUAAAGCGUGCGCAGGCGGUUUUGUAAGCCGGAUGUGAAAUCCCCGGGCUUAACCUGGGAAUGGCAUUCGGGACUGCAAGGCUGGAGUGCGGCAGAGGAGACUGGAAUUCCUGGUGUAGCAGUGAAAUGCGUAGAUAUCAGGAGGAACACCGAUGGCGAAGGCAGGUCUCUGGGCUGACACUGACGCUCAUGCACGAAAGCGUGGGGAGCAAACAGG